AUGUGAUUACAGAGGAAAGCUCGGUAUGGGUGUGCCCUUUGAACGAAGAACGCGGAUUCGUUGCUUACAUUUUUAGUUAGGAAAGUGAGGGCAAUAAUCCGCGAUGCCGAUUGGUUAUGACCAAUGUUGGGAAGGAAGAUAGGAGGAAGAAGCCUCCUACCAACGUGGGUCCUAGGCGACAUUGUUUAUGGGAAAACUCGGGUUUUCCGUUAGGUAGAUCUCCGAUUUUUACGUUAGGCCACUACCCGCUUUCU
RNAcentral lists this unclassified non-coding RNA (254 nucleotides) under Bombus terrestris (buff-tailed bumblebee). RNAcentral's name for it is "misc RNA ENSBTSG00005028031.1". The record is from RNAcentral. Lineage: Eukaryota; Metazoa; Arthropoda; Insecta; Hymenoptera; Apidae.